RNAcentral lists this ribosomal RNA (735 nucleotides) under uncultured Bacillota bacterium. Its description in RNAcentral is "bacterial SSU rRNA". It matches the Rfam family "Bacterial small subunit ribosomal RNA", at positions 1 to 770 of the family's 1533-position model. Lineage: Bacteria; Bacillati; Bacillota. The record is from RNAcentral.
GAGAGGUCAAACUCUACUACUUGUUACCUUGUUACGACUUAACCCUUGUUACCAGAAUUACCCUAGGUCUCUUCGGAGGGUGUAUAAAGUGGCGCACGGGUGAGUAACACGUAAGUAAUCUACCCUCGGGUGGGGAAUAACAACCGGAAACGGUUGCUAAUACCGCAUAAUGCAGCGGCUCCUUAUGGAGACAGUUGUUAAAGGAUUUAUUCGCCUGAGGAGGAGCUUGCGGCAAAUUAGCUAGUUGGUAAGGUAAUGGCUUACCAAGGCAACGAACUGUAGCCGGUCUAAGAGGACGGUCGGUCACACUGACACUGAAUAACGGGUCAGACUCCUACGGGAGGCAGCAGUCGGGAAUUUUGGGCAAUGGGCGAAAGCCUGACCCAGCAACGCCGCGUGAAGGAUGAAGUAUUUCGGUAUGUAAACUUCGAAAGAAUAGGAAGAAUUAAUGACGGUACUAUUUAUAAGGUCCGGCUAACUACGUGCCAGCAGCCGCGGUAAUACGUAGGGACCAAGCGUUGUUCGGAUUUACUGGGCGUAAAGGGCGCGUAGGCGGCAUGUCAAGUCACUUGUGAAAUCUCUGGGCUUAACUCAGAACGGCCAAGUGAUACUGUCGCGCUAGAGUGCAGAAGGGCAUUCGGAAUUCUUGGUUAGCGGUGGAAUGCUUAGAUUCAGAGAACCCUGAGGCGAAGGCGGUUGCUGGCUACCUGACCUGAGCGCGAAACCAUGGGAGCA